This 2234-nucleotide long non-coding RNA is filed under the name Pelobates cultripes (western spadefoot toad). Lineage: Eukaryota; Metazoa; Chordata; Amphibia; Anura; Pelobatidae. The record is from RNAcentral.
CUCAGGAACUUACUUGGAUGUCUCUCUGCAUGGAGGUUGGAGUCCCCAAACUUCCAAUUCCUCUCUCCUCUUUUCCUUUCUCCUUUGCAUCUGCAUACCUUGUAUAUCUCUAUCUUCCCUUUGUCUUAACUUUUAAAGGGCCAGACUCUCUGUACGUCAUCAGUUGAUAACCCAAUAGAAGCACUAGAGGUGUGGUUAUCUUCCAGAUCGCAAUUUAGUUAUUUGGUCUAUAGAGGGCAGUCUUGUCCCACUAAACAUACCUAUCCAGGAAAGAGUUAACUUUUCCUAGUGACUAUUUUGACGUCAUUUUGCUUAUCUCAAAUGACCACUAUAACUUACGUAUCCUUCACAGAUCAAAGGGUUUAUUUAAGUUUUGUCCAGACUAUGUGUCUAGCAAUCUGAGUUUUGACCCGUAACUUACAAUGGGACCUUAUAUGUAUAGACAGUUAAAUUGUAUUAUUUAAUCUUCUCUGUCACAAUUGUCUGGGUUUAGAAUUGAUUAUAUUCUUCUUAUCACUUGUUUAUACUAUGCAUUCCUUUUAGCUCUGACAAAGUGGCUAGUCUUACAGAAAUAAAUCUUGUGUCUUUUUUUGUUAACUUGGAAUAACAAAAUGGAGUCUGGUCUGUUCAGAGUGACUCAGAAUAUACACUUUUAGUUUCUAUCAUAGCACAAGAUGUCUGCCGAUUUAAAUACUCAGACAGACACACACACGCACAGACAGACAGACACACACGCACAGAUAGACAGACAGACAUACACACAUGCACAGACAUACACACACACACACAGACAUAUAUACUUGCAGACACAUACACACAGACAGACAUAUACACACACCUAAUUUAUCAGCCACCCUCCUCUUACCUUUAAGUAAUCUCCUCUCUCCUCUCAUUUUUCCUGUCCUCUGCUCUCACUUUGCUCUCCCUCCGAUUUCCUCCCGCACGCAGUAAGCUGGGAGGAAGUGACUGGCUGUCACUUCCUCCCAGCAGCACUUGCGGUGUAGCCACAAUUUUUUUUUUUUUUAAACGGGGCCCGGUCGCGCAAUUACACGCCCGCAGUGCUGACUGGGCCCCUGAAGAUAUAGGGCCCAUCGGGUGGCCCUAAAUGCUUGGGCCACCUGAUGGGCCCUGGUGCAGAUGCACCCAUGGCAGUUUCGCCCCUCCACGUGGGGCCCGGGCGGCAGUUAUGGUAAUGGGUAAUGUGUGUAAUUAAUGUAAUGAAAAUUAAGAGAACAUGCUAUGUGUAACGGAUCACCUGGCACCCCCACAGGGUACCUCCGUUGACAGAUGCUCCUAGUGCUUACCGAGGGCUCCAAGCACUUCUCCAGACAUCCCCAUGAACUGCUGCAGCUUAGUUGGGGGCUCGCCGUCUCCUACCCACCCUGGACCUACGAUAAGGCUCCAGAUUCCAAUGGGUGAACCUCUCUUCCUCCAGAGAGUGAAGCAGGAACAGCUCUUACAAGAGCUAGUGAUUAUUCAAGGGAGUAUGAAGAGCACAGCAAUCCUUUGUAGCAGUUUCCCUCAAUAAAAGACAAGACUCUAGAUUGAGGGUAAAUCAGGAACAGAGUUUAAUGGCACACACUGGUCUUUUAUACAAGUUUUACAGCAAAGGUGAUGCCUAGGUGGACCUAGUUGUGCACCCAAUACAAAACAUACAAGCCAAUAAAAACAGAGGUUUACAUUCAGACACUCCCAUACAGUGUAUACAAUCCCUCCCCUCUGCCUGUGAUACAAUUAACAAGGACAAUGGACUAACUCAAUUAACUUUAAGCAGAAAAAAAACAAAUUUUUACAAACCCCAAAAUACAACAUAUCCCCCUGAUAGCCCUGAUUUGGGUGAACAACAUAUCCAAAAAUCACCCAUAUCGGUUCAAGGGUUCAGGAAUUUCCUGGAAGUCUUAUUUUGCCCCACCGUGCACAUGGUCCCAUGCCCAAAACAGUUCCAUAGACUCAACGACAAAACACUGCUGGACAAUUUAAGAUGGCCACUGCCACAUGUUUGAAUCUGUUCCAGUUAAAAGUCCAAGGGGCAGAAACAGUACUUUUGAACAUGGGUUAUCACAGGGCCCAUAGUCCCAGGGUAGAAGGCUGGCAAGCAGGCCCCUCCAAAACCUCAUGGCAACCUCCCUUAAAAAGGGAGUUUGUCACACUAUGAUUCACUCUUCAAUCUGUUUGUAAAACCAGCUGGCAUUCUUUCACUGUCAUUUUAUAUAAAUAAAUGUGGCAUUAUAUUA